GGGGAUGUAGCUCAAGUUGGCUAGAGCGCUACAAUGGCAUUGUAGAGGUUGUGGGUUCAAUUCCCAUCGUCUCCA
RNAcentral lists this transfer RNA (75 nucleotides) under Candidatus Walczuchella monophlebidarum. Its description in RNAcentral is "tRNA-Ala (GGC) (tRNA-Ala-GGC-1-1)". It matches the Rfam family "tRNA". From Rfam's summary of the family: Transfer RNA (tRNA) molecules are approximately 80 nucleotides in length. Their secondary structure includes four short double-helical elements and three loops (D, anti-codon, and T loops). Further hydrogen bonds mediate the characteristic L-shaped molecular structure. tRNAs have two regions of fundamental functional importance: the anti-codon, which is responsible for specific mRNA codon recognition, and the 3' end, to which the tRNAs corresponding amino acid is attached (by aminoacyl-tRNA synthetases). tRNAs cope with the degeneracy of the genetic code in two manners: having more than one tRNA (with a specific anti-codon) for a particular amino acid; and 'wobble' base-pairing, i.e. permitting non-standard base-pairing at the 3rd anti-codon position. The record is from Rfam by way of RNAcentral. Lineage: Bacteria; Pseudomonadati; Bacteroidota; Flavobacteriia; Flavobacteriales.